GAUAUUGCACAAUGGAGGAAACUCUGAUGCAGCGACGCCGCGUGAAUGAUGAAGGCCUUCGGGUCGUAAAGUUCUGAUGUGAGAGACGAAGAAAGUGACGGUAUCUCACCAGCAAGCACCGGCUAACUACGUGCCAGCAGCCGCGGUAAUACGUAGGGUGCAAGCGUUGUCCGGAAUCACUGGGCGUAAAGGGAGCGUAGGUGGUUAUACAAGUAUUUAGUAAAAGGCAUGGGCUUAACCGAUGUAAGCUAGAUAAACUGUAUAACUUGAGUGCAGUAGAGGUAAGCGGAAUUCCUAGUGUAGCGGUGAAAUGCGUAGAUAUUAGGAGGAACACCAGUGGCGAAGGCGGCUUACUGGGCUGUAACUGACACUGAGGCUCGAAAGCGUGGGGAGCAAACAGGAUUAGAUACCCUGGUAGUCCACGCCGUA
This 429-nucleotide ribosomal RNA is filed under the name uncultured marine bacterium. Its description in RNAcentral is "bacterial SSU rRNA". It matches the Rfam family "Bacterial small subunit ribosomal RNA", at positions 359 to 804 of the family's 1533-position model. The record is from RNAcentral.